CGGAAUUACGGAGGGCCGGAGUAACUAGGGGCCGGAGUGACUGGAAAUCCUCAGGUGGUGGUUUAACUUACCAACCUUGCUACCAUGGCAACACCAACCUCUUGCACGUUCGUGGAUACCAUUUGGCGACCGAAGGUUAGUAAUGGACGCUGAUCGCAGUUUGUUAAGUAGCAACCGUUUCGUGCGAGUCCUAUAAAGGACUUACAGGACUCGCACCAAUGAAAUGCACCCCCAGAAGGACUCUUCGUUUAUUUUCUGAAUUACUGCAUAGUUAUUUCCACGUUAUUAUAAUGGUAAUUGGAUGUGUGAAGAGUAAAGCAACACUAGAUAUGAUAGCCUGCAUUAAAGCCUUUUUUCCACUUUGCUAAGGAAUUGAGUGUUGGCAAUAUUCACCGCGGCCCCAUGGAAAAACACAAGCUGCCGUGGACUGCUUCAGGUACUCCAGCUGCUCCUCUCUCACAUACCCAACGCCUGAUCUCCAUCUCUAUGGGAUGACUGACUAAUACAUGACCUCCGCACCACCUCCAUGGGCCUCUACAGAACUGACUCCUCUCCACAGCCUUGGAUAAGAAAAAGUCCAGUGUUGGACGUAGCCUCUCACUAGCCUCACAUGAACACCUUCACCAUCUACAUCUUUCAUCUGACCCACGCUGCCCUCGGUGCCACACAGUGCCUGACACUGUUGAACACUUCCUUCUGCAGCGCCCUCGCCUCCACUCACACCGUACUGUUCUCCGCACACAAGUCUUUGCUCCGGGGAUAAAUAGUUUUGACCUGUCCACCCUACUGGCGGCGGCAGGCGUCCAUCCCUCAAGACAGUCAGCUGUCAUCCGCCUCACCUGUGCCUUCCCCAAGAAGUCAGGACAGCUGCCACGCCUGUGAUGACACCACAGGCACUUCACCAGAGGGCACAUAAUUUAUGAUUGUCACACUGAUCGUCACGGCCCUUAACAACAACACUCACAUAUUACGGCCAACUCUACCCCGGUAAGCAUUAAUGUGGUUGUAUACACUUUUUGUUGGUAUUGUGAUACAUACAUUUCCUUGAAAUACAUCCCAGUACGAAACAAUAAGUCGAGUCUUUCUCAAUGAGUGAAGCCACAAUCCGCGAUCGCUAGGUUGGCUUGAUCGGAGGCGAAGGGCGGACCUAUUUUGGUUUGUAAUUUAGUUUGUAAUUUGGUUUGUAAAAGUUAAUAGUGAGCGUUUCUCACUCAACAUACAUGUGGAGAUGCGCCAAUUAUUCCUUUGUGUACAGUAUAAAAAUAAAAAAGUGAAGAUCUAAUUAGUUAAUAAAAAAAUUGAAAGUGCACGCACCUUUGUCGAGGCCAGCGGAAUCGCCACCCAGGAGACGAGUCGGAGGUUUUAGAAUACUUGAUAAAUGAGAGUCACAAUAGUAUUGCUGACAUUUUCUUUGCCUUCAUACUAACGAAUGACGAUCUUGCAUGCUGUAGAAGCAACAUCGGUCAAAAAUAACCCCAAACACGAGUUUGAGGCAGGCAAAAAAGGACGUCCAUUAUUGGCAGGAGACCUCUUGGCUUAGGAAUCGGUUAGGCACUAUUUUCCUCCUCUUUCCACGUCAGCCUCACCGAAGUAUGGCGAGGCAUGACCUGCAGUGCUGGAUGCUGAAACUGAGGUAAAAUCCCACACCUUAACAACCAAAAAAUAUGUGCAAACUUACUGAUAAUUAUCUCUAUCAAAAUGAACUUUGAACUCUGCAGGGAUUCCCUCACAUAAUGGUGAAAGGUACUGACCUGCCCUACCCCUGGGGGACUCCAGGCCUAACCCUGCACCAGCUGACCCAGCCCAGACACACACAGCCCAUGAUGAAAGUGACGUGGUGUGUCACAGGUGUUUGCCUCGCUCGGUACCUGCUUCCCAGAGUAACAUUUCAUGGCCAGGUAAUUGUACAGUGACUACUUUCACCCAACAGUUUGCCUCAGUCUUCACAGUUCUGUCCAUGACCAACAGAUUCACAUUUCUUGUAUGGCGGGAAUAAAAUGUCCAUAAAUUGUUACCGUGUCGUUGGCGGACUACCUUUGAAAACAGACCCAACAAUGGCCACCAGCUGAAGCACCAGCAUGGCAUUUUCUGUUAAACUCAGUGUGUAUCACUACACCACGCAUUAUUUAUCUUCAUUUUAACCAAAGAGUGCAUACCAUUAUGGGAAUAUAUAGAAAAAUGCAUUAGUUCUCUAGUCCAGUGUCUGUGUGAAUUGCAUGAUCACCAACCGUGAAAGGAGCGCCCUCGGGUGAGCGUCUGCUAACAUGCCGCCAGACGGGAAGCAUCUCCUGUGGAAGACUCGCCGAGGAAAGGGGAAGAGGCAGACUGAGCCAUUAGAGAUGCCGUUGCAAAGACCAUCAUCAUCCACAUCUGACCCGACACAAAGAUUGGGAGUCUUCCUGAGCCACUGGGACACCAAGGCCAUGGGUGACAGCAGAAAGCCAGCCACAAAAUAAGAAGGUUAAGCAAAGAAAUGCGUGAAGGAAGGCAGGAGAAUGACCCAAGAGGCAACUCAGAGCAUACAGUAGCUGAGAGGAAGUAACUCCCGCCAGCGUUGCCAGACGUACGAUAAUUAUUGUACAAGAACAAUAAUUUUUGCCAGUGUACGAUGUACAAUGGGACUCAUACGAUUAUACGAUAAUUUGGGAAUUCGUACGAUAUUUUUUAUGAAAUAUACAAUAAUUUGAGUGAAAAUUAAUGUUAUCAAUAUCAGGUAAUGCAAAAUUUCUUACAUAAAUUUGAACAACAAAAUAAAAACCUGAAAGUGCCAGAUGUAUUGCUUUCCUUACGAGACAAGUCUCACCAUACGGGUGAACAACAGGUCUCGUUCUUGUCUGCGACCAGUCCGUCCGCUCCCCGAGUCCCCGUCCCAUAGUCUCGUAGUCGUCAGUCAGUCGUCAGUCUCGCGCGUCGUGACGCAGGACAGGACUUUCAGUUUUCGUUAAAAAUGUCUGAAGAGAAAGGAAAGGAGAGAGAGGAGGCAUGUGGUGCAGUGCCGAAAAAAGCGAGACGGAAACAGAAAUAUAGGCCCGAGUGGGACAAACAGUUUCCGUGGGUGGGGCCUGCAAAGAAGGAUGCUUGUAAGGCCAUGUGCCUUAUUUGCAGUGUUGAAAUAACCGCCCAGCUCACAACUCUCAAGUUGCACGAAAACACUGCAAAGCACAAGAAAAUGUGUGCGCCAUCCUCAUCCAAAAUACUUAUGGAGUCAUUUACAAGUGCACGUGGUGAUAAUGAAACUAGUAAAAGUGAUUCUGUUAAGGCUGCUGAAAUAAGGCUUACUGCAUUUAUGGUGGAACACAAUAUAAGUUUCCGUGUGGCCGAUCAUCUGUGUGAAGUCCUGAAAGGUUUCUUCUCUGACUCCGCUAUUGCAAAGGAAUUGAAAAUGAAAAGAACAAAAUGUCAAAGAGUGUGUGGUAAUGUUAUGGCACACUCUCACAAACAAGAGCUCAUUAACAUCUUGAAGCAGAACAAGUUGAGCAUUCUUGUGGAUGAAUCCACAGAUAUAUCGGUCUGUCAGAAUUUAUGCAUCAUGGUAAGAGUGGUUGAAGGAAAUACUGUUGUCACCAAAUUUUUGGAUUUAGUGCCAUUAUUUAGUAGUGAUCCUAGUAAAGCUAAUGAAGGUGCUACAGCUGCCAGGUUGUUUUCAGAGAUAAUGAAAACAUUUACUGAAAAUGGUAUACGUACUUGUAAUAUCAUUGGCUUUGGUUCUGAUGGAUGCAGCACUAUGAUGGUGCCUAAUAACUCUGUGAGUAGCAGGUUAAAGGAACUUUGCCCAGGAAUCUUUAUUAUGAAAUGUGUGUGCCAUUCUGCCCAUAUAUGUGCCUCUGAAGCAUGCAAACAAUUACCUGAUGCUAUUGAACAACUAGCUCAUGAUGUCCACAACACAUUCAAGAACUCUUCAAAACGAUUGGCACAAUUUGUACAAUUUCAAGAGUUUGCUGGGGCUCAAAAGCUUAGGAUUUUAUUGCCAUGUAGAACGCGCUGGCUUUCCUACACGGCUGUUGUGAAAAGGAUGCUUGAGCAGUGGGGCCCUCUUCAGAUGUUGUUUACUGAAUUAAAUUUUCAACAGACGAAAACUUGUGGUAGCACAGUUAGAAGUGCUUAUGAACAACUGCACAAUCCAUUUACCAGGCUUUACUACUGCCUCCUUUCUUCAGUAUUACCAAAGUAUUACCAAAAAGCUGAACCUUUUAUUUCAAAGAGAAAGAGUGGUCAUAACUGAAUUGCACAGGCAAGUUUGUAAUUUAUAUAAAGAAUUGCUACUGGUGUACAUGAACCAUGAAUACAUUGUGAAAACCAUGCUUUCAAAAGUUGAUCCAAGAUAUCAACGUGAGUUCCUGAUGCUAGAGCAGGUGUAUUUGGGUGCAUCUGUCUUAAAAACAAUAACAGACAAUCCAGAAUUAAGCAAGCAAAAAAAAAAAAAAAUGAAAUGUAUGAGUUUCGCUUCCACUGCAGAUUAUUUUUGAUAGUAGCAGCAGAACAGAUCAGGAAGAUAUUUAAUUUCGGAGAUGAAAUCCCUUCAAGAAUGCAUAUGCUGGAGCCAGCCAGUGUUCUAGGCAUCCAGGGCAAAGUGCAAGAGCAAAGUUUGGUGCCCCUCGCGACACACCUUCCCCGAAUCAUUGCCCAGGAUGAUUCUACCCUCCAGCAACUGGACGAUGAGUGGAAGAGGCUUGCCGUAGAAGAUCUGCCUGAAUCCAUUACCAACAUGGCGAAAAAGUGGACAAAAGCAAUUACAACCAGCCUGAUAAAUUUUGGUGUGCCAUAAAAACUCUGGAGGAUAGUGAUGGAAACCCCAAGUUUAAGCUUGUUUCAGACUUUUCACUAGGAUGUCUUUCUUUGCCUCAUGCUAAUGCUGACUGUGAGCGCUGCUUCUCUAGUGUCAACCGUGUGAAAACAAAAGACAGAAGUAAGCUAAUAACAGAAACCGUAAGAGACAUCAUACUAGCGAAGCAGUGUGUUGCUUCCACAUCCAGCAGUGACUGUACGACCUUCAAGCCAUCAAUCAAAGUCAAUGAUAAAAAACAUGACAUCAAGCGUGCUAUAUUCCUCCAAUGAAGAGAGUGCCGGGGCUGCUGACGACGUGCCGGAUGUAUAUAUAGAAGAACAAGACCAGUAAUCUCCUACAUAGCACUUGCUGUGAGAGAGAGGGGAGACCUGUGCACCGCUGUGCUGCACUGUGCUUGGAUGUCCCUGGUUCACUCCUGAGGCUGUACCAUUCUUGCCCCUAUUGUGAGUAUGUCUCUGUGUGUGUGUGUGUGUGUGUGUGUGUGUGUGUGUGUGUGUGUGUGUGUGUGUGUGUGUGUAGUUGACAAUUACUGAAGGGUUUGUGACUUGACCCGUCCCACAAGUGACAAAGACGGCAUCACGUUGGUCAGUGCUUGCAGAAAUGGCUCUUUCUGAGACGUGGGUACAGUUUGUAAUGGCCGCCACUCUUCCCUGCUCCACAGACCAGGCCAGCAUCCAGGCCGCCGCCCUGCCUGGCACUGACGGCUGUCUGGCCUCCCCGAGGGUCCCUGCAGGACUGGACGCGGCGUGUGCUGGCGGGAGUGGUGCUGCGGUGGAGGUCAUGAGGCCGGGCAGCAGCAUGAGCGGCCGGCGGCAACAGCGGCAGCAGCAGCAGCAGCACCAGCAGCAGCAGCAGCAGCAGCAGCAGCCAGCCUCAGGUGUGGGGAGGCGCAAGCAUGGUGGCAAGAAUCACCUGGAGGCAGGCAGCUCUGUCCACAGAGGAGAGAGCAAGUUUGAGUGCCAGCAGUGUGACAAAACUUUUGUAUCCAGACAAGGCCUUAAGUACCACACCCUGACACACAGUGGUGUUAGAAAUUAUGAGUGUGGUGAGUGUGGCAGGAAAUUUACCUGUAAGUCUCACCUCACCAGACACACCCUGACACACAGUGGUGUUAGAAAUUAUGAGUGUGAUGAGUGUGGGAAGAAAUUUAUCCACAAGUGUCAGCUCACCUCACACACCCUGACACACAGUGGUGUUAGAAAUUAUGAGUGUGGUGAGUGUGGCAGGAAAUUUACCUGUAAGUCUCACCUCACCAGACACACCCUGACACACAGUGGUGUUAGAAAUUAUGAGUGUGAUGAGUGUGGGAAGAAAUUUAUCCACAAGUCUUCCCUCAACACACACACCCUGACACACAGUGGUGUUAGAAAUUAUGAGUGUGAUGAGUGUGGCAGGAAAUUUACCAUAAAGUCUCACCUCACCAGACACACCCUGACACACAGUGGUGUUAGAAAUUAUGAGUGUGAUGAGUGUUUGAGGAAAUUUACCCACAAGUCUGACCUCACCAACCACACCCUGAUACACAGUGGUGUUAGAAAUUAUGAGUGUGAUGAGUGUGGGAAGAAAUUUACCCAAAAGUCUAACCUCACCACACACACCCUGACACACAGUGGUGUUAGAAAUUAUGAAUGUGAUGAGUGUGGGAAGAAAUUUACCCACAAGUCUUCCCUCACCUCACACACCCUGACACACAGUGGUGUUAGAAAUUAUGAGUGUGAUGAGUGUGGGAAGAAAUUUACCACCAUUUCUCAUCUCAAUGAACACGCCUUCAGACACACUGGGGUGAGGGAGUUCGAGUGUGAUGUUUGUGGCAAGUGUUUCAAGACAAAGGGUGAUAUUGCCAAGCACGUGAAAAUCCACUUCUGAGGUGGUGGUGUGUGGACACAUGGGGCCACACCUGUACCUGUGGUGGUGGUGGUGGUGGUGGUGGUUGCCGUGCCUGUGAGGGAGUCAUGGCCCCAGCAGUUUUGUGUGGUGGUGGUGGUGGUGGUGGUGGUGUGGUGGUGGUGUGGGGGUCAUGGCCCCAGCAGUUUUGUGUGGUGGUGGUGGUGGUUGUGUGGGGGAGUCAUGGCCCCAGCAUUUGUUUUGUUGGCAGUGCAGGUGUGACUUUCAAUAAAUGUGUGUGUGCAGUAAACCUUUGUUUGUGUAUUCACCAGGUGUAGUAUACAGGGCCUCAGCUACAGGAAUAUAUUGUAGUGAGGCAGCCCCUCUCUCUCCUUGCCUCAAGUGUUUGUGUAUUCACCAGGUGUAGUAUACAGGGCCUCAGCUACAGGAAUAUAUUGUAGUGAGGCAGCCCCUCUCUCUCCUUGCCUCAAGUGUUGUGUUUCUGUUUCUUUUUGUCACCCUUCACACAUUAGGUUAGGUUAAGUCUGGCACCUUCUUUGCCUCUCUCUCUCUCUCUCUCUCUCUCUACAGGUGAGGGAGCACACAAGUGUAGCAGCUAACAGUUUCUGUGUAAUUGUUGUGGUGGUGACUUUCCUCCUCAUAUUCUCGUCCAGGAAGGGAAAGGCUGCCCUCGUGUUCCUCACCAUCCUGUUGUGUCACCAACUGUGUUGUCUGUGUGCUUGUUUGGUGAUGACUGGCCCUGCAUCACUGCGCCCUCGUCUUUGCUCCUUCACUGCUGCCAGCUGUGCCCGUGGUCAUGAUGACGGUGGUGAUGGUGAUGAUGAUGGCGAGCGAGACAUUCAAAGGAGGGCGUUCACGUGCGUGGUGGUGAGCAGGUGAUGAUUGGAGAGGCACAGAACGUUCAGGAUGGAGGAGGAGGAGGAGCAGGAGUCUUUGUGUAUAGGAAGGAGAGGAAUGUAAGAGGAGAAAAGAUAGAUGUAGGCAGCUCUGUCAUGAGAGAAGGCGGCAGAGUGCACAGGCCACCCUGGAAUGUCGUGAAAGGCUUGCGGUGGUCGUGGUGUGCGUGAAGGGGGAGGGUGAGAGGGCAGGCAGAGACAACACCAAGAGUUAACCAGUGUUCUCAUUCAUUCUUCCCUUUCUCAGGUAAACGCUGGGACUCCCUGCCUGCUUCUGCAUUUCCUCCUUCCAAUGACUUCAAGUCUUUCAACGAGGGGGAGGCUCAAGACAUCGUUUUAUUUAUCUAUUUUUAUUAUUCUCAUUUUAUUUGGCUCCUCUACAGGAACUGGCAUUAAGUUGGCAUUUUUAUUCAAAUUUUUUGUUGUCCUUUUCCAACAGCCCUCUUACAUAAAAGAAAAUAACUAAAUAAUAACAAGAAAAGCCAGUGUCUCUGGGUGGCAAAACCACUCGGCCUGGAGACAAUGUGCAUGGCGUGCCAGCUGUAGCAAUGGAAGGAGUAUUGAGGCAGUGAAGGAGUCCCUGGAGACAAUGUGCAUGGCGUGCCAGCUGUAGCAAUGGAAGGAGUAUUGAGGCAGUGAAGGAGUCCCUGGAGACAAUGUGCAUGGCGUGCCAGGUGUACCAAUGGAAGGAGUAUUGAGGCAGUGAAGGAGUCCCUGGAGACAAUGUGCAUGGCGUGCCAGGUGUACCAAUGGAAGGAGUAUUGAGGCAGUGAAGGAGACCCUGGAGACAAUGUGCAUGGCGUGCCAGGUGUACCAAUGGAAGGAGUAUUGAGGCAGUGAAGGAGUCCCUGGAGACAAUGUGCAUGGCGUGCCAGCUGUAGCAAUGGAAGGAGUAUUGAGGCAGUGAAGGAGUCCCUGGAGAGAAUGCAUGGCGUGCCAGCUGUAGCAAUGGAAGGAGUAUUGAGGCAGUGAAGGAGUUCCUGGAGAGAAUGCAUGGCGUGCCAGGUGUAUUGACAAUUAAUAUGAAGGAUAACGUUAAGUUUGUGUUUGCCUUUUUGUUUUUCCCAGCAGUUGUCGCUACAAAGGCUGACUCAGGAGCAAAGCGAGCCGCCUGUAGCGCCAAGCUGAAGCUCAAGAUGUCAACACGACACGUGGUAUG
This is an RNA transcript of Scylla paramamosain (green mud crab), 8686 nucleotides long. It is a transcript of the gene named zinc finger protein 256-like, with no coding region annotated. NCBI's taxonomy places the organism in Eukaryota, Metazoa, Arthropoda, Malacostraca, Decapoda, Portunidae. The transcript is spliced from 2 exons. The record is from RefSeq and is a predicted model, not a curated record.